UACGGAGGGUGCUAGCGUUGUUCGGAAUCACUGGGCGUAAAGGGCGUGUAGGCGGUCUGUUAAGUCUGAUGUGAAAUCCCCUCGCUCAACGAGGGAACUGCGUCGGAUACUGGCAGACUUGAGUACCGGAGAGGAAGGUGGAAUUCCCGGUGUAGCGGUGAAAUGCGUAGAUAUCGUCAAGAACACCGAUAGCGAAGGCAGCUUACCAAGCUGUAACUGACGCUGAGGCACGAAAGUGUGGGGAUCAAACAGG
This 253-nucleotide ribosomal RNA is filed under the name uncultured prokaryote. RNAcentral's name for it is "partial 16S ribosomal RNA". It matches the Rfam family "Bacterial small subunit ribosomal RNA", at positions 524 to 776 of the family's 1533-position model. The record is from RNAcentral.